Molecule: long non-coding RNA, 3805 nt
Organism: Pezoporus flaviventris
Lineage: Eukaryota; Metazoa; Chordata; Aves; Psittaciformes; Psittacidae
Exons: 3
Source: RefSeq, a predicted model, not a curated record
ACUCAAAUUGGGGAUAGGGAGAUAAUCCAGUGAGAAAAGUAGUCUGGGAUCCAAACCACUGUGAUUUCUAGUAACUGGAGAAUUGAGCUGUAACAGACUGCAGAGCAUCUGUGUGUUGGUCUGCCCAUGAGAGACACAGCUUCCUUUAAGCUGCCCGGACCACAGGCUCCAAAAGGUCCUGUACUAACCUUAGGAUAACAUAACUGUUGACUCCCUGAGACCCUCCAUGUUGCCUAAGCAAGGGGGAUGUGCGUGAGGGCUGAGUUCCCAGAGUGGGUGCUGGGAGCGCAGUGUGAGAGCGUGCGAUGCUGUGCAGAAACACGGCUUAAGGUCAGACUCGCCUCUAAAGCUUCCUCAGAAUCCCAAAUCCUCUUUUUAUAAGAGUUUCACUCAAACACAAACAAUUAAAGAAUUUCAUCUUCUCCUCCUAUGGUGGGAAAGCCUGGAUGCUCCUCUGGUCUCUAAACUUUAUUAAAUAGCUCAGAGCCUUCCCUCGGUGAGGGUCCUGCUUGGCUUCAGACAACCCGGAUCUUUGUGUUCAAUGCAAAUAAAUUGGUCACUGAUGCCAGUUGGCAGCAGGGAAGAGAAAUCACACAGCCUGUUGCAGAGAAGGGAGCUGCGAGCCUCACGGCUGCUGAUAGGGUUGGAGUCGUUUGCCAAGGACCCCCGUCAACGGCAGCAGCUUUUCAGAGACCUCAGUGUGUGCUAUUGCACAUCUCCACUCUCCACCUCUCUUUAUGCUUCCCCUCCUAGGGACAACACCUAUGCCAGCCUCUGAGCUCAAGCACUCGAUGUUCUGAUGCCUGCCUGGGGCACAGGGAGAUGAUUUUUGUCAUUUUAAUGUUGGAAUUUGCCCCAUUAAUAGCAGUGGUCUGAUGGAACGAGCAGAAACUCUCCCCCUGAACUGAUUGCUCUGGAGGCCAGCGGCUCUCUCAUCACCAGGACUUUGUCAGAGCGUGCAGUAUGCUAACAUCCUGCCAGCUCACCUUUCUCUAAGCGUUAGUCCCACCAGUGCAAAUAAGGAGUCUGCUACAUGUCUGCUGGUUUCUCCCUGGUGCACUGAGGCAAAGCAGCCCUUCCUUGUCAGUCAGUGACCAAAAAUGUUGAUUCUGGAACAACUGAUUGUGCUGGCUGUAAAGGAUGCCAAAACCUCUUGAAAGCUGGGAGGCAAAGGUGUUUUCUUUUUAAAUGAAUUUAGCUGUAGAAGGAAUUUCCCUGAGAGCUUGUUUGAUAUCUGGAAUAGAAAUGGCUUUCCUUCUCCAUCUCCACCCACUCAGCCCUCAGAGCCACAUCCAGGGAGCCUUUGGACACAAUUCUCCUCUCAACAUUCCCUGCUUUGGAGUACCUCUGUGUUUAUUUCUAGACAGCUGAUGGAUGUUCCAGGUGAGUCCAACUGGAAUGUGCUUGCUGGGUUGGUGUCAUGGAUUUAGUGCAGCCUAGGGAGGGCUUCUCAGUUGCAGAGCACAUUUUCUGUUGGAUCAGACAUUUGUGGCAGGGCUGAGCUGAAAGAAAUUCGGUCCAGUUUGGUUAAACUGCCUGUUCAAAUCACAGCCAGCUCCUGAGCUGCUUGUUGAAGCUCAGGUCUGGUACAUCCCACUUGAUGUAAGCGCUCCCUGGUUCCCUGGGAGCCACCCCUGCUCAGUUUAGCAGCUUCCCCCUUUCCCUCCCCAUCAGCAGGCCAAGGGGGAUUUCUGGCCAGCUCCAGGCCCCAGGGUCACCCAGAUACCUCCUGCCUCCCUUGCCAAACACAGCUGUGCAAAAGGAAGGUACAUCCCAAGCACUGUGCACGCCCAAAGCAGCACGGAGCUGUCAUAUUGCUAAAUGCUGCCAUGUGUGAUAGAGGCAGGACCUUGCAAGGCAAAAGGCAUUUUGCUGACACAUAGGAGAGCAACCCCAUGGUAAGAGUGGCUUUUAAGAAACAAGUAUGAAGGAGAGGAGUGGUAAACCCAGCUCUACCUGUACCCAAAGACACAGGUAGCACCUGGUGGCACUGAUAAAGCUGGUGCUGUGAGCCUUAGCUCCCAUAGGAAACAGGACCUCUACCAGCAUCCGUAAGUAAGUAUCCCCCUGUGUCUUUACACACUUAAAUACCUUUGCAAACCUGGCUCCUUGCCUGUUUCCCACACUGGGCUGCUGCUGCUUUACUUGUGCACAGCAGCAGGAGCAAGGAGCUCAGCUGUAAUUUGGGGUUGUGUUGUGCUAAGCGCUGUACAGGCGCAGAACAAAAGACCUCUGACCGCUUCCCAGCAUCCAGCUCUUGUUGUUUCAAAAACAACCCUCCCCGUUUCUCUGUUUUUUUUACUUUUAUUCAUUGUUUUCUUGCUUCCUUUAUAUUCCUGGUGCCUCCAAGCUAGAAUACCUUUGCUGGGCUCCUGAGGGAGCCAGGCCAAGCCACAUGGAAAGGGCUUUUUACCUGUGUCCCGCUUAUCUAUAAGAGGGUCGGAACGUGUGUGUAUCCCAUUAACUCUGUCCUCGCUGCUCUCAAGAUGUUCCGCACAAAUGAUUUUAUUUUUUUGUGAAACAGAAAUUUGGCAAAACACAACCUGUUCCUGGGCGCCUAAGAGCUACAGAAUCCAGCUCCCAAAGGAAGCCAUAAAGUGCCAUUGUAUGCCUACUGAGCCUGAUGAAACACCAGAGGAAAUGAUCCCAAGUGAAGGUCUUUGCCAUUUCUCACACCUCUGGUUCUCUGAUCCACCCUCUUUGUGUCUCUGGGUUGGCUACAAAUGGGGAGAGAACAGUCCUGGAAAGGCUGUGCUUCAGAGAACAACUGGAGAUGUUCAGAUAUGAGCCUUAUCUGCCUUGCAUUGAGAGCAUCAUUAGAGGAAGACCAGAGUGGACUCCACCACCCAGCCUCACCUUGCUGGCACUACAGGUUGUACCGUGCAGCCUUGGCCCGCACCCCUCCUCCAGGGCCUUAUUGCAUAAAGCCCACCACCCAGGGUGGUAUGGGCCCUACCUUGCCUCAGGGGCACUGCUGCAUUCCCUGCCUUCCCACCCAGCCCUUCCCCACCCACCCAACAUCACCUGAGUCCUCGGGACAUCUACAGCAGCUUCCUACAGGAAUGUCAUGUCGGGAAGGCAUUUAAAGCCUUUGUAGCUCUAAUGCCAUGUAAACAAGGAGGUAAGCCCACCCCACCCCACCACUCCAAAGCCCUUUUGAUGUUGAUUUCUUUUAUGGCCACCAGUCACACUUUGGGAAUGGGGCUCCUACGGGAGAGCUGGUCCCUGCACCAACCCGUCUGCAGUCCUGCUGCCUGCUCCUGCCUAGCACCCAGCUCUUGGAGCCCUCGCUGGCUUCUGAGCCAAGACAGGGUGUCCCUGGGAGCUUUGCCUGUAUAAGGGCUGCAGCGUCUGGCACGUUGUCUGGAAAGCGCUGUGUAAAUAGGAGGGACAAUUAUCACAGCCCUUUCCCGAAAGGAAAUUCCAUAUUGGCACCGAGCGGCAGGAUAGGAUGGCAGAGCAGGCUGGGCUGUGCGCAGGGCUCUGCCCUCCUCCGGCAGCCUCUGACAGCAUGGGGAGGGAAACCGGCUCUUUGAUGGGACAUGCUGCUCUAGUGGAAGCCCAUAUGGUACUGAGCGAUCUGUGCUGAAUGCCCCUGUUAUCCACACGCCCCUGUCACCGCCCCGCUGCCUCUACCCUCCCCUCGGGCCCCCUCCCUGAUGCAGAGGUUAAAUAAAAUAUCAUUUCCUUCUGAUUUAGCCUUUGUCUUUGGCAAUCAAAAUGCCCUUCAGGCCCCUGUGGAUUCAACCUUCCAGGUCAGGGGAGGAUAUGGGAAACCCCUUCCCAGGCGUUUCACUGUAGAUAA